RNAcentral lists this ribosomal RNA (194 nucleotides) under uncultured bacterium. RNAcentral's name for it is "partial 16S ribosomal RNA". It matches the Rfam family "Bacterial small subunit ribosomal RNA", at positions 338 to 524 of the family's 1533-position model. The record is from RNAcentral.
CCUACGGGAGGCAGCAGUAGGGAAUCUUCCACAAUGGGCGAAAGCCUGAUGGAGCAACGCCGCGUGAGUGAAGAAGGUUUUCGGAUCGUAAAACUCUGUUGUAAGGGAAGAACAAGUACAGUAGUAACUGGCUGUACCUUGACGGUACCUUAUUAGAAAGCCACGGCUAACUACGUGCCAGCAGCCGCGGUAAU